UCUAUUUGCAGCAACUUAAUAUUUCCCUUUCAAAUAAGGGAAGCCGGUGAAAGUCCGGCACGGGGACGCCACCGUAACCGGGGACGAAAUCCACAAAAUGCCACUGGGAUAUUUCCUGGGAAGGCGUGGAGAGUAGGAUGAUCCGGAAGUCGGGAUACCUUAUUUGAAAGGAAAGCAAUC
Molecule: non-coding RNA, 180 nt
Filed under: Thermosipho africanus
Lineage: Bacteria; Thermotogati; Thermotogota; Thermotogae; Thermotogales; Fervidobacteriaceae
Source: RNAcentral